UAGAGUCCUUGGAUAGCAAUGGCCAUGCUCAAAUUUCUUGUUGCAAUUAAAACAUAAACAUUUGUCUUUAUGUUGUUGAAACUCCUCGUUGGUUAGGGACACACUUUUUUGGUGCUACGUCACCACGAGUCACGUUAGUGGAAUUCUUAACUAUAAAAUCUAUCAAUCGUGUUGUAACAGAACUAUGUAUGGGGGUGAGGUUCCUUGUGUAACCAUUGGGGUGUUGUCCUCCUCCAUAGUUUUUCUCAUCUUGGGCAAGUGUUUCUACCUAGGUCUAGUAAAUGGUCCACAUCUGUCACUCAUUCUUCUUAGCUGCUUCCAUUAACUGCAUAAUUUCCAUCGAUUGGAUGUCGAUGAACUUUGCCUGAAUGUCGGGUUUCAAGCCCUUCAUAAAGGUUUCCUCUAAAACUAUUUCCAACAAGGGAGGAAGGUAAAUAGAAAGGCAUUCUAAGUUUUUGUAAUAUUCUUUAAUAGUAUUGUGCUGCUUGAUGUCUAGAAAGACGUAGACUAUGUUGACUGAUAUGUCAUCAUUGAAAGGUUGUCCAAUACAAACUUUGAAAUCGGUCUAAUUUUGGAAAAUAUAAUAAUCUUUGGUCCAUAUUAGCCACUAUAG
This 613-nucleotide long non-coding RNA is filed under the name Spirodela polyrhiza (greater duckweed). RNAcentral describes it as "long non-coding RNA (SPOL_LNC002086)". Lineage: Eukaryota; Viridiplantae; Streptophyta; Magnoliopsida; Alismatales; Araceae. The record is from RNAcentral.